UACGUAGGGUGCAAGCGUUGUCCGGAAUUAUUGGGCGUAAAGAGCUCGUAGGCGGUUCGUCGCGUCGGCUGUGAAAUCCCGAGGCUCAACCUCGGGUCUGCAGUCGAUACGGGCGGACUGGAGUUCGGCAGGGGAGACUGGAAUUCCUGGUGUAGCGGUGAAAUGCGCAGAUAUCAGGAGGAACACCGGUGGCGAAGGCGGGUCUCUGGGCCGAUACUGACGUGAGGAGCGAAAGUGUGGGGAGCGAACAGG
This 252-nucleotide ribosomal RNA is filed under the name uncultured bacterium. RNAcentral describes it as "partial 16S ribosomal RNA". It matches the Rfam family "Bacterial small subunit ribosomal RNA", at positions 524 to 776 of the family's 1533-position model. The record is from RNAcentral.